This 62-nucleotide transfer RNA is filed under the name Lachesilla pedicularia. RNAcentral's name for it is "tRNA-Cys". The record is from RNAcentral. Lineage: Eukaryota; Metazoa; Arthropoda; Insecta; Psocodea; Lachesillidae.
AAUUUUGUAGUUUAAUUAGAAUAACAAAUUGCAAAUUUGUAGGUGAAAUUUUUCCAAAAUUU